GCCCCCAUAGCUCAAUGGUAGAGCAGCUGCCUUUUAAGCAGUUGAUCUUGGUUCGAUUCCAAGUGGGGGCACCA
RNAcentral lists this transfer RNA (74 nucleotides) under Candidatus Harrisonbacteria bacterium RIFCSPHIGHO2_02_FULL_42_16. RNAcentral describes it as "tRNA-Lys". It matches the Rfam family "tRNA". Rfam says of the family: Transfer RNA (tRNA) molecules are approximately 80 nucleotides in length. Their secondary structure includes four short double-helical elements and three loops (D, anti-codon, and T loops). The record is from RNAcentral. RNAcentral also lists the same sequence under 1 other name. Lineage: Bacteria; Candidatus Harrisoniibacteriota.